Callithrix jacchus (white-tufted-ear marmoset) is the source of this 1631-nucleotide long non-coding RNA. The record is from Ensembl. Lineage: Eukaryota; Metazoa; Chordata; Mammalia; Primates; Cebidae.
GGGGACUCAACUUUACAUUUUAUUUGUCUUAAUUUAUUUAAAUUUAAAUGUCCACCUCCGGCAGGUGGGUACAUUGCACGGGGCAGGUAACCGGGAAAUUCUGGUCACUUCCUCGUGUGUUGGCCACAAUUCUCUGAUGCAGAAAGAAGUUCCCAGCACCUCGGUGACACCAUCGCCCUCCGUUCUCACUCAGUUCUGGGGGACAGACAGCAUUUCUGGGGUGGCAAAUGUAUGUGGUCAGACAAAUGUGAGGAUGUUGAUUAGUAAUGGAAUUAUUUUUAAAAAGCAAAAUUCAGAAUGCACAAGGUCUCCCUGAGAGGCCAGGCUCCCUGCCCUGCCCCGCCCUGCCCCUGUCUGCCCCGCCCCACCCCCGUCUGCCCCACCCCCAUUUGUCCCACCCUGCCUCCACCUGCCCCACCCCUGCCUGCCCUGCCCCCUGCCCUGCCCCGCCCCCCAAUCCUGCCGCCAUCCCCAGAGCCCCAGUGUGGGAGAGGGUGCAGGUGCCGUGAGCACCAGGUGCCACCUGUGCUCCCACCGCCAACCUGCCAAGACCACAGCCAUCACCACAGCACCAACCAAAGUCUCUCCUGCUAGGCGCUGCCUCACUGCCACCUGUGGGUGCCUUUCUCAGUGUGGCAGUCCCUGGGCACUGUGCCCGCCAGACUCCUCAGAGACUGGUGCCAGGAGCAGCCUCCACAGCCCUCUCAGCAGCCCUGAGCUCUGACACCCUGCCCGGGCUCCUACCUUGGGGCCUGGUCUCUCGGGGCCUCCUCAGCUCUGCCAGGAGGGGCCGGGGGCAGGUUGGGGGCUAACCUGGGGCUAGAGGACCGGUGUGGUCUCCACCUGUCCGCUAGGCUGUGGCCUCUGGGCCCUUUUCAAACUGGAGAAACCCCAGAGUGACCAGCUCAGCCCAGUUUGCUGAGGACCGUCCUAGUUUUCACAUGGAAAGUCCUGGAUCCUGGAGACUCCCUUGGUGCUGGGUAAAGCAUGCCAGCUCAGCGCAGGGAGGGGCGGAGGGCCAGCCCAGUCUUGUCUGCUUGCCUCUGGGCACAUUCUGGACGGCCCACUCCUGUCCCCGGCACUGCAGAGGGAAGGAGCGCCUGCGCCUGGCCAGCACCUUCCUGUGCUUUGGGAGUUGGCCUCACGCCGCCACCACGGAGCUGCUUUUCCUGCCCCUGGGGUGAGGCCGAGAUCGCCCAGGGGCUGCCACUGUGCCAGUAUGCUGUCACCGUGCCAGGAUGCCAUCACUGUGCCAGGAUGCCAUCCUGCUGUCACCUCUGCCUCAAGUCUCAGGCUGUAGGGGCAUCUCCACCCAUGCAGCCAUCUUCACCCAUGCAGCUAGCUCUCCCCUCUCCUCAGGGCUGAGCUGAUCCAGCAGGGCUGAGGACAUGGGUAGGGAUGGGCCACUUGCUCACAGGUCUGUUUGAACACUGCAGAGGAGGAACCCAGAGAGGGGGUCUCCCUGGGACCAGUGACUGGAGAGUGGGCGGACCUGGGAGGGGCAGCUCUGGGUGCUCAGCUUCUCUGAGGAAUCUGAGGACAAGGUUCUAGUCCCCAAAGUACUCGGAGGCUGAGAGCUUAUUAUGUGAGCUGCCCGGGUGGAGGCUAGGACUCAGAGGGUUUCACUUCAC